RNAcentral lists this ribosomal RNA (560 nucleotides) under uncultured bacterium. RNAcentral's name for it is "bacterial SSU rRNA". It matches the Rfam family "Bacterial small subunit ribosomal RNA", at positions 338 to 916 of the family's 1533-position model. The record is from RNAcentral.
CCUACGGGAGGCAGCAGUGGGGAAUCUUGCGCAAUGGGCGAAAGCCUGACGCAGCCAUGCCGCGUGAAUGAUGAAGGUCUUAGGAUUGUAAAAUUCUUUCACCGGGGACGAUAAUGACGGUACCCGGAGAAGAAGCCCCGGCUAACUUCGUGCCAGCAGCCGCGGUAAUACGAAGGGGGCUAGCGUUGCUCGGAAUUACUGGGCGUAAAGGGAGCGUAGGCGGAUAGUUAAGUCAGAGGUGAAAGCCCAGGGCUCAACCUUGGAAUUGCCUUUGAUACUGGCUAUCUUGAGUAUGGGAGAGGUAAGCGGAACUCCGAGUGUAGAGGUGAAAUUCGUAGAUAUUCGGAAGAACACCAGUGGCGAAGGCGGCUUACUGGCCCAUUACUGACGCUGAGGCUCGAAAGCGUGGGGAGCAAACAGGAUUAGAUACCCUGGUAGUCCACGCCGUAAACUAUGAGAGCUAGUUGUCGGCAUGCAUGCAUGUCGGUGACGCAGCUAACGCAUUAAGCUCUCCGCCUGGGGAGUACGGUCGCAAGAUUAAAACUUAAAUGAAUUGACGG